AUGGCGCUACGUGCGGCUGUGACGGGUCUCCUGCAGCCGGCCGCUGUCCCUGUAUGUGACGGCUUCAUCUGCCUUGUCCCCAUGCUGUCCGCCGGAUUUGCAGAGGACCUUUACCUGGCCAGUCGUUUUGGGGGGUCCAAGGCAACACGCGAGUUUGAAAUCCCACGCCCGUUUGCCCUUGGGGACGUCCUGCGCGAAACCGGCAAGGGUGCUGGGUUCCUCACUGUUGAUGAGAUUGGCAUGAUGUUGCCUAAGCUGCGCCUGCGCCCUGAGGAUUCUUAUUACAUAUUUGGUGCAAGUGCUGCUGCUGCCGGAAUGCUACUCUUGUCUGCCGAAGAACCAAUUGAGCCUAAUGAUGGGCAGACAUCUGAGAUCAUACAUGAUCUUAAGGAAAAGUUGAGUGAAGUUACCGAGAGAGCGGAGAACCUCGCUGCUGAGAACAAGAGGCUCCUUGAAGAUGUGGACAAGGUCAGGGAAGCUAACAAGCAACAUGGAUAUGAGAGCUGGAUCGAGGCCCUUCGAUCCAUUCAUGAAGAGGAACUUGCUAAGCUUGAAGCUCGCAGUGACAAGGAGGGUGAUGGGAGUGGCAAUGACAACAAGGACAAUAGGAGUGGCAAGAAGGGGAAUGAGAGUGACAAGAAGGAUAAAAAGCCGCUCGCAAAGAAGCUGUUAGAUCUUUUGAUGGCACCAUCCACUGCGGAAAGUUUGUACCAGGAUAUCACCACCAACUGGACCAAGUGGGGAUACCUUUUUGGUAUGGUCCCAGUGUUCUAUGGUUUUAAAAAGGCAGAUUUUGCAAAGAUUUUCAAGGGUGACUUUAGCGGUAUAGAUCCUCGGGUUGAGGUGGUGGAGAGCAGGGCUUGCCCAUGUGGCAUUCCCUGGCCGCAGAAAUGCUCAAGAUGUGGCAGAGGACUCCCUAACUUCGUUGGUGAUUCGGGUCUCGUCAGCUUCCCUGGUAUUGCAGGCGUCAAGGGCGAAACCUUCACAGCCGUCACUCCCACUCCCGUCCCAAGGGCGACAUCGCCUCAAGCCACCGCAGCCGUGAAGUGA
Molecule: ribosomal RNA, 1050 nt
Filed under: Triticum aestivum (bread wheat)
Lineage: Eukaryota; Viridiplantae; Streptophyta; Magnoliopsida; Poales; Poaceae
Description: partial small subunit ribosomal RNA
Source: RNAcentral